Molecule: long non-coding RNA, 383 nt
Organism: Alosa alosa (allis shad)
Lineage: Eukaryota; Metazoa; Chordata; Actinopteri; Clupeiformes; Clupeidae
Exons: 2
Source: RefSeq, a predicted model, not a curated record
UCUCCCUCUCUCUCUCUUAUCCUCUCUAUCUCUCUCUGUUUCUCUCUCUCUCUCUCUCUCUCUCUCUCUCUGUCUCUCUCUCUAUAUAUAUAUAUAUUGUGUAUGUGUUUUGUUUUCCUCUAAGAAACAGCAGACUGUAUAUCCAGUGGGUGCCUUCUGUUUGUUUUGCAAUCUUGUUUUGGCGGAAUUGGACCACAGUUCCCAGGUUGUGACACCAUGACACAAACAACAGCUGUUUGGAAGGCUACUGUUCUGUCAAUUGAUUGUCUUUCUGUACGUUAUGAGUGCUGAAAUUGUGUUUGUCUAAGAUGCCCAUCAUGAUAAUGGAAGUUGUCAUUGAAAACAUGUUUCCAAGUGUUAAUAAUAAAAUAGCCCUGAUUGUA